AUACGGAGGAUCCGAGCGUUAUCCGGAUUUAUUGGGUUUAAAGGGAGCGUAGGCGGAUUAUUAAGUCAGUUGUGAAAGUUUGCGGCUCAACCGUAAAAUUGCAGUUGAUACUGGUAGUCUUGAGUGCAGCAGAGGUAGGCGGAAUUCGUGGUGUAGCGGUGAAAUGCUUAGAUAUCACGAAGAACUCCGAUUGCGAAGGCAGCUUACUGGACUGUAACUGACGCUGAUGCUCGAAAGUGUGGGUAUCAAACAGGAUUAGAUACCCUGGUAGUCCACACAGUAAACGAUGAAUACUCGCUGUUUGCGAUACACGGUAAGCGGCCAAGCGAAAGCGUUAAGUAUUCCACCUGGGGAGUACGCCGGCAACGGUGAAACUCAAAGGAAUUGGCGGGG
RNAcentral lists this ribosomal RNA (393 nucleotides) under uncultured bacterium. Its description in RNAcentral is "partial 16S ribosomal RNA". It matches the Rfam family "Bacterial small subunit ribosomal RNA", at positions 523 to 918 of the family's 1533-position model. The record is from RNAcentral.